CGUCUUGACGUGAGAGCCCUUAUCAGAGAGCAUCACCGUCUCCACCUGGCUGUCCUUCGGCCUCACGUGGAGAACAAAAGGCAAAAGUCCUGAAUGUGGUACUCUGUCACAAACUGGCAUCUCUGCAGUAGUCGUGACCCCAAGAUGCAGGAACCAGGAGAGCGACGUGCAGGUAAGAUGUUUUUAAUGUCAUCAAACAGAGGACAAAGCAGUCUUGCAUGUAAGUUCAACAAACAUAAAGCCAUUGUCGUGCACCGAGGAGCGCAUGAGACCGGCAUAAAUAAGAACAUGCUGACUGACAGCAGGUGUGGACCGGCUGCCAAUCAACAGCAGGUAAGAGAAAAAACACAGCACUCAGCGGGACAAGCAGGAAGUGGAAACAAAAUAAGAGCACUGAUAGGAAGUGAAUACAAAACAAGGAAACAAACAGAAAUUAAGUGACGGAUAAUCACAUACUUGUCAGGUUCAAACACUGAUGACAUCUAUUAAACAGACGAGAAGCAAGGAAUCAUGUGUAGACAGAGUUCAAUUUGGCUCAAUGAGGAGACACAUGUUUUGGGCUGUAUUCUAGUUACAGAUCCAAGCUACGUUCUAAGGUUUAGCCCACGUGCUUCCUCUAUUUAUUUGGGAGGUCCCUGGUUACAUCACUGAAGCUGUCGCUGAGGGAAGGGGCUAAUCUCCACAACUCCAGUUAGACACAAUAUAUGAUCAUACAAGAAAUGCAGAUGUGUUGACACUGGUGAUAUCGCCUUGUCUCUGCUCUGUCUGCGUCACGGCGGUGUUCGGCCUUGGUAGUCAGCAGGCCGUUCCAGGACACAAACACUGAUACAAGACUGGCUUGCAAUAUUUUGGACUGCCGGCUUUGCAGGGACAAAGAAAAAUACCACUUCAGCACAAUUGACAAUAAUUAUAGCAACGGCCCUUAAGCAUAAGAGUUGUGUGAUAAUAUAUACAUAAUUAAUCUAACAAUACUUAAUGGACAGGUUUGAAUAAACUAUUUGGUGUGUUAGGAUUAUGUGUGAAUAGAUACACAGCUGAUUGUAUUAUGUGUGUUUUUGAAUGAAUGGACAAAUGUCUUGACAUUGAGUAUUUGUGAGUGGAUAGACCGAUGAUUACAUUAUCUGUGUAUGGGAAUGGACAGACAGAUAAUUUUAUUAAGUGUACACAGUAUGUGAAUGGAUGGGCAAAUGUGUUUUCAUCAAAUGUAUAUAAUUGGUAUGUGUGUACUUGUGGGUUUAGACUGGCAACCCACGGCUCUUUAGUGCUGCUCUAGUGGCUCCCUGGAGCAUUUUUAAUAAGGAUUGAAAAUGGAAAAAGAUGGAGGGAAAAUAUUUUUUGGGGUUUUAUUAUGUUUUUUGUUUGAGGACAAACAUGACACAAACCUUCCCAAUUGUUCGAAUGCCCACUGUUUAACAUGUUUGUGUGUAUGCUUCACUGAUGACAGUAUUUGGUGAACAUCGUUUUAUCCUACGAAUUUUGGCGAUUCUUGAACUCGCCAUAGUGUGGACUGUGACGAGAAAGUUUGUUUACAUGUAAAAUGUUACACUUCUUCAUUGUCUCGUUUUGUCCACCAAAUAUUUUAUACUGUGCGGGAAUGCACAAAGGUGCACUUUGUUGAUGUUAUUGACUUGUUGGAGUGCUAAUCAGGCAUAUUUGGUCAAUGCUUGUCUGCAAGCUAAUUGAUGCUAACAUGCUAUUUAGGCUAGCUGUAUGUACAUAUUGCACCAUUAUGCCUCAUUUGUAGGCAUAUUUGAGCUCAUUUCAUAUCCUUUACUUAUGUCCUCUUUGAAUAUAAUUUAUAUUUGCAUGUCUCGUGACACAUUACCUGUAUAUAAUAUUGGCUGCAUUUCUGUUGUUUGUGUGCCAUGUUGUUCCAGACCACAGCAAACAUUACCUGGCCUGGCAAAGAUUGUAAUAAAUCAAUUAAAAGAA
Nerophis ophidion (straightnose pipefish) is the source of this 1932-nucleotide long non-coding RNA. RefSeq lists it as uncharacterized. The transcript is spliced from 2 exons. Lineage: Eukaryota; Metazoa; Chordata; Actinopteri; Syngnathiformes; Syngnathidae. The record is from RefSeq and is a predicted model, not a curated record.